RNAcentral lists this ribosomal RNA (119 nucleotides) under Pteropus alecto (black flying fox). The record is from RNAcentral. Lineage: Eukaryota; Metazoa; Chordata; Mammalia; Chiroptera; Pteropodidae.
GUCUACAGCCAUGCCACCCUGAAUGCAUCCGAUCUCAUCUGAUCUUGGAAGCUAAACAGGGUCGGGCCAGGUUAGUACUUAGAUGAGAGACCACUUAGGAAUACUAGGUGCUGUAGGCA